This 460-nucleotide ribosomal RNA is filed under the name uncultured bacterium. RNAcentral's name for it is "partial 16S ribosomal RNA". It matches the Rfam family "Bacterial small subunit ribosomal RNA", at positions 338 to 795 of the family's 1533-position model. The record is from RNAcentral.
CCUACGGGGGGCAGCAGUGAGGAAUAUUGGUCAAUGGUCGGGAGACUGAACCAGCCAAGCCGCGUGAGGGAUGAAGGUACAGAGUAUCGUAAACCUCUUUUGUCAGGGAACAAAGGCGGGGACGCGUCCCCGGAUGAGUGUACCUGAAGAAAAAGCAUCGGCUAAUUCCGUGCCAGCAGCCGCGGUAAUACGGAGGAUGCGAGCGUUAUCCGGAUUUAUUGGGUUUAAAGGGUGCGCAGGCGGUCUGUUAAGUAAGCCGUGAAAGGCCGGGGGACAACCCCGGCGCGGCGGUGAAAACUGGCAGUCUCGAGUGGGAGGGAAGUAUGCGGAAUGCGCGGUGUAGCGGUGAAAUGCAUAGAUAUCGCGCAGAACUCCGAUUGCGAAGGCAGCAUGCCGGCUCCACACUGACGCUGAGGCACGAAGGCGUGGGUAUCGAACAGGAUUAGAUACCCUUGUAGUC